RNAcentral lists this ribosomal RNA (269 nucleotides) under uncultured Planctomycetales bacterium. RNAcentral describes it as "partial 16S ribosomal RNA". It matches the Rfam family "Bacterial small subunit ribosomal RNA", at positions 565 to 832 of the family's 1533-position model. Lineage: Bacteria; Pseudomonadati; Planctomycetota; Planctomycetia; Planctomycetales. The record is from RNAcentral.
GAGCACGUAGGUGGGUUUGUAAGUCAGACGUGAAAGCCUUCUGUUCAACGGAAGAAUUGCAUCUGAAACUGCGAGUCUUGAGUGUAGGAGGGGAGAAUGGAACUUCUGGUGGAGCGGUGAAAUGCGUAGAUAUCAGAAGGAACGCCGGCGGCGAAAGCGAUUCUCUGGCCUAUUACUGACACUCAGUGUGCGAAAGCUAGGGGAGCAAACGGGAUUAGAUACCCCGGUAGUCCUAGCCGUAAACGAUGGGCACUAAGUAGAGGGGUUUU